AGCGAACGCUGGCGGCAGGCCUAACACAUGCAAGUCGAACGAACCUUUCGGGGUUAGUGGCGGACGGGUGAGUAACACGUGGGAACGUGCCUUUAGGUUCGGCAUAACUCAGGGAAACUUGUGAUAAUACCGAAUGUGCCCUUCGGGGGAAAGAUUUAUCGCCCUUAGAGCGGCCCGAGUCAGAUUAGCUAGUUGGUUGAGGUAUAGACUCACCAAGGCGACGAUCAGUAGCUGGUAUGAGAGGAUGAUCAGCCACAUUGGGACUGAGACACGGCCCAAACUCCUACGGGAUGCAGCAGUGGGGAAUCUUGCGCAAUGGGCGAAAGCCUGACGCAGCCAUGCCGCGUGAAUGAUGAAGGUCUUAGGAUUGUAAAAUUCUUUCACCGGUGACGAUAAUGACGGUACCCGGAGAAGAAGCCCCGGCUAACUUCGUG
This 434-nucleotide ribosomal RNA is filed under the name uncultured bacterium. RNAcentral's name for it is "partial 16S ribosomal RNA". It matches the Rfam family "Bacterial small subunit ribosomal RNA", at positions 29 to 507 of the family's 1533-position model. The record is from RNAcentral.